GUAUUUUUAGUAGAGAUGGGGGUUCACCAUGUUGGCCAGGCUGGUCUCAAACUCCUGACCUCAAGUGAUCCACCUGCCUCUGCCUCCCAAAGUGCUGGGAUUACAGGUGUGAGCCACCGCGCCCGGCUUAUUUCUUGGCUCACUUAAAAGCACAUCAUCAGCUCUUCCAGGGUAGGGCUUGUGUCGACUGCUAUGUUGUGUUUGGCCAGAACAGGCUCCUCUGGAUAUUUGCCUGACUGAAUGAAAAAGCAAGGGCUGUGAUGACCUGGGGAGAGGAGGGGACCAGGGCUAUGAAUUACCUUCCCUUCCCCACCCUCUCCUGCAGCAAAUCAGCCGGCACCAGGAGCAGUUCAUCCAGAUGCUGAACGAGCCCCCUGGGGAGCUGGCGGACAUCUCAGAUGUGGAGGGGGAGGUGGGCGCCAUAGGAGAGGAGGCCCCGCAGAUGAACUACAUCCAGGUGACGCCGCAGGAGAAAGAAGCUAUAGAGAGGUUGAAGGCCCUGGGCUUCCCAGAGAGCCUGGUCAUCCAGGCCUAUUUCGCGUGUG
RNAcentral lists this small RNA (545 nucleotides) under Pan troglodytes (chimpanzee). RNAcentral describes it as "retained intron". Lineage: Eukaryota; Metazoa; Chordata; Mammalia; Primates; Hominidae. The record is from RNAcentral.